This 69-nucleotide transfer RNA is filed under the name Minervarya manoharani. Its description in RNAcentral is "tRNA-Gly". The record is from RNAcentral. Lineage: Eukaryota; Metazoa; Chordata; Amphibia; Anura; Dicroglossidae.
ACUCCCUUAGUACAAUCAGUACCAGCGACUUCCAAUCACUGAAUCUUGGUUAAACCCCAAGAGAGAGUA